GUGAGGAAUAUUGCGCAAUGGGGGCAACCCUGACGCAGCAAUGCCGCGUGAAGGACGAAGGUUUUCGGAUUGUAAACUUCUUUUCUUGAGGACGAUAAUGACGGUACUCAAGGAAUAAGCCACGGCUAACUACGUGCCAGCAGCCGCGGUAAUACGUAGGUGGCAAGCGUUGUCCGGAUUUACUGGGUGUAAAGGGCGAGUAGGCGGGUCUGCAAGUCAGAUGUGAAAUGCAGGGGCUCAACCCCUGAGCUGCAUUUGAAACUGUAGGUCUUGAGUGAUGGAGAGGCAGGCGGAAUUCCCGGUGUAGCGGUGGAAUGCGUAGAUAUCGGGAGGAACACCAGUGGCGAAGGCGGCCUGCUGGACAUUAACUGACGCUGAGGAGCGAAAGCGUGGGGAGCAAACAGGA
RNAcentral lists this ribosomal RNA (406 nucleotides) under uncultured bacterium. RNAcentral describes it as "bacterial SSU rRNA". It matches the Rfam family "Bacterial small subunit ribosomal RNA", at positions 354 to 777 of the family's 1533-position model. The record is from RNAcentral.